ACUCCUACGGGAGGCAGCAGUGGGGAAUAUUUGGACAAUGGGCGAAAGCCUGAUCCAGCCAUGCCGCGUGUGUGAAGAAGGCCCUCGGGUUGUAAAGCACUUUCAGUGAGGAAGAACGCUUGUGGGCUAAUACCCUGCAAGGAAGACAUCACUCACAGAAGAAGCACCGGCUAACUCCGUGCCAGCAGCCGCGGUAAUACGGAGGGUGCGAGCGUUAAUCGGAAUUACUGGGCGUAAAGCGCGCGUAGGCGGCUUGAUAAGCCGGUUGUGAAAGCCCCGGGCUCAACCUGGGAACGGCAUCCGGAACUGUCAGGCUAGAGUGCAGGAGAGGAAGGUAGAAUUCCCGGUGUAGCGGUGAAAUGCGUAGAGAUCGGGAGGAAUACCAGUGGCGAAGGCGGCCUUCUGGACUGACACUGACGCUGAGGUGCGAAAGCGUGGGUAGCAAACAGGAUUAGAUACCCUGGUAGCGAGUAG
This 474-nucleotide ribosomal RNA is filed under the name uncultured bacterium. RNAcentral describes it as "bacterial SSU rRNA". It matches the Rfam family "Bacterial small subunit ribosomal RNA", at positions 335 to 802 of the family's 1533-position model. The record is from RNAcentral.